This is a long non-coding RNA of Amyelois transitella, 2781 nucleotides long. RefSeq lists it as uncharacterized. The record is from RefSeq and is a predicted model, not a curated record. NCBI's taxonomy places the organism in Eukaryota, Metazoa, Arthropoda, Insecta, Lepidoptera, Pyralidae. The transcript is spliced from 2 exons.
AUAGAUUGAAUAAUCUACAUCCAUGCUAAUUAUAAAGAGAAAGGAUUUGUAUUAAAGAAAGUUUGUACCGAAUAAGUUCAAAAACUACUACUCAAAAAUUCUUUCACCAGUACAAUGCUACAUUUUCCGAGAUAACAUAAGGCAUAUACGUAUUUUUAAAUAAAUAAAUUUUAUAAAUAAGUGGAUACUUAGGAUUUUAGACAGAUUAAUCAAUAUUAAUAAAGUAUUAUGGGAAAUAAGCUGUUCCGAAAACCUUUUAUUACGAGCACUAGCCACACUGUUACUUUACACAAGAACAAUGUACAACAAAAAUUUAAAAAAAAAUAGUUCUUUAAAAAAAAUUGGACACUAUAUAGCUUAACUUCUAUAAUUAAGUAACUGGUUAUGUAUAUACGCAUUAUUAUAAAAAAUAUAGUGCGUGUGGAGGCAUAGGUUCUAAUCCUACCUCGAUUAUGACAAUUGACUCUUUUCUUAGUUAUCUACAUUGCUCUUACGGUGAUUUUUGAAGGGAGAUAUUUUUAAUUUUGAUUAGUAAAAACUAUAUUACUUACUUAUAGGAUAAAAUUAUUGUGAUGAAGUGUCCCUAGGAACUAAGUAAGUAAGUGUGAAUAUAUGUAUUGAUAUCUAGUUUUAUAGUUUCAACUACAUACGGGUACAUUAUUUUGAAUAGUGAAACACUUAGGGUGGAUCAGAGGUACAAAAAGUUAACCGUGAAACAGCUAGGUAAACCUUUUUGGUAUUCCACAGGUAAGUUUCUUGGGAAAGGUCGGAGUGGGAAGACCUAGACGAACGUAUCUUGAUCAAAUUAAGGACGUCCUGGUAAAGGGUCAGGUCAAAAGUACCCGAAACCGCCGAGCUUGUAUGAAGAGAGUUAUGAAUGUGGACGAAGCGAAAGAAGUAUGCAGAGAUCGUGGCAAGUGGAAAGAGGUAGUCUCUGCCUACCCCUCCGGGAAAGAGGCGUGAUUUUAUGUAUGUAUGUAUGUAUGUAAGUUUCUUGUCACUAUUUGAAUCUCAAUUCUAUCAUCAACCCUAACAGCUGAAGGUGGCCUGUCAAUCUUUCAAGACUGCUUACCCUGUCUACCCCGCAAGGGAUUUAGAUGUGAUUAUAUGAAUGAAUGAGUCUCUUGUCUUCGAGACACUUACCCCCACCACGACCAACCCCAACCGAAAUUAGACCAGACUAUCUUUUGUUAUUAUUGCUUCUAGGUACGAACAGAAAAUAUUUAGUUAAUAACGAGUAGUUAAUAAUACACUUGCUAACAGUAAAGAAUCCGGUUUUUUGGCUGAUUGCCUUGGCAUACUAUUAUGCUACGGGUUAAUAAUAUUAUUUACGAGUAUGUACCAAUUAUAAUAAUAUUCACGAUGCUGAUAUGUAACUAGCUGUGCCCGCGACUUCGUCCGCGUGGAACAGUUAUUUGGGCAUCAUUGAAGCCCUCAAAGAUUAAUAAUUUUCCCCUUUUUUUUUUCACAUUUUCCAUUAUUUCUUCGCUCCUAAUAGUUGCAGCGUGAUGUUAUAUAGCCUAAAGCCUUCCUCGAUAAAUGGUCUGUUCAACACAAAAAAAGGAUUUUUCGAUUCGAACCAGUAGUUCCUGAGAUAAGCGCAUUCAAACAAACAAACUCUUCAGCUUUAAUAUAUAGAUAGGCACUCUUAAAUGUAAAUUAUGGCAUCGUCCUGUAUUUCCUGCAGAGACUAAAAGUCCACGUUCAACCAAAAAUGGAAUAGAAAUUCAAAUAGCGACAGGUUGCUAACCCAUCGCAUACCUACAAGAGGAAUCCCAAGUUUAUAAGCCUAUCCCUUAAUCGCCUUUUACGGCAUCCAUGGGAAACAUAAGUAUUUAUAUUCUAAAGUGUUGACAUUACACGGCGUAAAAUUACCGGAUUGUCGGAAAGCGUCAUUACUAGUUCAAGACCACAGAUUCCAACCACGGACUCGACCACCUAUGUUCUAAGUUUCCUUGAUAAUCUAGAUAUUACAUGACUAAUAUAUUACAUAACGAAGACGUACAACGUUCUGACAACUUGCUGGUAAUUAAAAGAGUAUGUAUAUAAGCCGGUUUCAUUCAGAUAAAGUUCAUGUGUUGCUUUGAACAGAGUUACCUACAUAACUAACUAUAUUUUGCGAUGAAAUUAUGUGCGGUUAAGUUUUUGCAGUCCCUAACAAGUCAGUGAGUGAAUUACAAAUCGUACAAGUGCGCGUAUUUGCUAUGUAGUUUUGACUUUGAAGUUAUAAAGAAAUACUGUGAUAAAAUAGUGUUUGUAAAAUAUAUUUAACUAAUGACAGGUUGCUAAACAAAAAAGAAUCUCAAAUUUAUUGGCAUUUUAUGGCGUGGCCUCAUUGUGAAGUGCCGGGAACCACACGGCAUAUUAUUUGAGUUUAGAAGACCCCGCGUGCCCUAACAGCGGAUUGGAACUGAAGGAUUGCAUAAUAUUAUGAAGGUAAUCUAGUAUAAAAAUACUACACAAUCCGUAUACAUACACAACUGAUUUUACAGUCAUUAAUAAUUUUUACUAAACAUUAUUAAUAGUAAUAGGCAUAAUUAAUUAUAAAACAUUAUUAAUAAUUAUUAAUUACGUAGAUAGGUAAUCUAGGUGUUCAACUUUGCGUUUUGUUUCAGUGUAGAAUAGUGAUUCCGUGUUUCCUGGCCAUGACUUUGAUUAGAUAUUUUUUUUUGUACUUACUAAAUAAUAUGUUCGAAACUCGUGAGCAGGGUUACUUAUCGUUCUUUGUUUUUUGUUUGUUUGUAAAGAUUUUAUUGUACAAUUAAAUAAAAUACCUUAUUA